CAACUACUCCCUCUGUCCCAAAUUUCUUGUCUUAGAUUUGUCUAGAUACAGAUGUAUCUAAUACUAAAAUGUGACUUUGAUACAUCCGUAUCUAGACAAAUCUAAGACAAGAAUUUUGGGACGGAGGGAGUACUUU
This is a non-coding RNA of Triticum aestivum (bread wheat), 136 nucleotides long. The record is from Rfam. NCBI's taxonomy places the organism in Eukaryota, Viridiplantae, Streptophyta, Magnoliopsida, Poales, Poaceae.